CAACUACUCCCUCUGUCCCAAAUUUCUUGUCUUAGAUCUGCCUAGAUACGGAUGUAUCUAAUACUAAAAUGUGACUUGAUACAUCCGUAUUAGGACAAAUCUAAGACAAGAAUUUUGGGACAGAGGGAGUACUUU
Triticum urartu is the source of this 135-nucleotide non-coding RNA. The record is from Rfam. Lineage: Eukaryota; Viridiplantae; Streptophyta; Magnoliopsida; Poales; Poaceae.